This 253-nucleotide ribosomal RNA is filed under the name uncultured bacterium. Its description in RNAcentral is "partial 16S ribosomal RNA". It matches the Rfam family "Bacterial small subunit ribosomal RNA", at positions 524 to 776 of the family's 1533-position model. The record is from RNAcentral.
UACGUAGGUGGCAAGCGUUGUCCGGAAUUAUUGGGCGUAAAGCGCGCGCAGGCGGCUUCUUAAGUCUGAUGUGAAAUCUCGGGGCUCAACCCCGAGCGGCCAUUGGAAACUGGGAAGCUUGAGUGCAGAAGAGGAGAGUGGAAUUCCACGUGUAGCGGUGAAAUGCGUAGAUAUGUGGAGGAACACCAGUGGCGAAGGCGACUCUCUGGACGACACCUGACACUGAGGCACGAAAGCUAGGGGAGCAAACAGG